AUCUCUACCUGACUAUCUCUCAUGCUCUCUCUCUAUAUAAAUGAAAAUUAAAUGGUUAAUAAAUUCGGCUGGAACAACAUCCUUCUCUGCUGAUCUGCUCCGACGAGAACAACUAAUAAAGAAGAAGCUGCAGCAUCAGAACUAAGGAGUUGAUUGGGAAGAACAUAUACAUGGUUUCUGUAAAUCCAAACCCAAAUCCAUCCGACGGUUUGUUCUUAGAUCCCAUGGAAAUGGCGCUCCCCGGCCUCGGCUCUUUGGCACCAACCACAACUCCAUCAGACGACCCGGCUAAGAAGAUUAGGAAGCCCUACACCAUCACUAAAUCCCGAGAGAGCUGGACUGAACAAGAGCACGACAAGUUUCUAGAAGCUUUGCAACUCUUUGAUCGUGACUGGAAGAAGAUUGAAGCUUUUGUUGGGUCGAAGACUGUUAUCCAGAUACGCAGCCAUGCACAAAAGUACUUUCUGAAAGUCCAGAAAAAUGGAACAAGCGAACAUGUACCUCCACCUCGGCCUAAGAGAAAAGCAGCUCAUCCCUACCCACAGAAAGCCUCCAAAAAUGCUCCAGUUCUCUCACAAGUCACAGGAGCAUUCCAGUCUUCUUCUGCCCUGCUUGAACCAGGAUAUAUCCUUAGGCCAGAUUCAUCAUCAAUGCUUGGGUAUCCUAUUAGAGGUGCAACAUCCUGGGUUCAUAAUUCUUCUCCACCAGUUAAUGUGUCACACAUGGCAAAAGAUAAUAUGGGAUCCGCCAUGCCUACAGCACUAAACAAUUGUUGCAGUAGCACUGAAAGCACUCCAAGGAGAUGGCCAACCUGUGAAAGAACUGAUCAAGGGAAUCAAGGCCCACCACUGAGGGUUAUGCCAGACUUUGCUCAAGUAUAUAGCUUCAUUGGUAGUGUCUUUGACCCCAAAACAAGUGGCCACUUACAGAAACUAAAGGAGAUGGAUCCAAUUGAUGUCGAAACUGUGUUACUGUUAAUGAGAAAUCUCUCAAUCAAUUUGUCAAGCCCAGAUUUUGAGGAUCAUGCUCAGUGUGGUAGCUUGCAAGAUGCAAUAUUAGAUUAUCUCUUCAGUGAAGGUGCCAGUUGGUUUUCUGGUAAGUCUCCUGCUGAUUGUAGCAGAGACCUGGGGACCAGAUCCUGCCUAGCCAAAAAAUAUCAUCUCCUCGGUGGUGCUUGAGUGGCUUCCCAAGGAAUACAUCCUUCAAUUAUUUAUACAAACAGAUUUAACAUGAUGGAUCAUAUGGUGCUAGUGACUAGAAGCACAAUACUAUUAUCAGAUGCUUCCCUUCAUCAGUGCAACUCAAAUACAGUGGUUAAGUGUGAGAAUUGCUGGAAGAUGUCUCACAUCACUGUAUUGACUACAUGCAAAGUUGGGCCAUUACUUGGUGUUUUGGUACGAUCUCAGGCUGGCAAGCUUGAGAUGUGGUUUCGAGCCUGAAAGCAGCCACUUGGUUCCAAAAAAAUGCCAAAGGUUAGGACCAUAUCCAGUCUACCCCUCCCAAGACCCCAGACUGCUGGGACCAACAUUUGGUAAUGGCCUUUAUCUUUCUCUUGGAGGUUAGGCUACCACUCAUUCAUGCAAUUAUAUGAUGUAACGUGAUGUGUCAGGAAGGAACCUGUACUUUUCAUGCACCAGUGAGUAGUAGGAUGUUCUUUUUGACAUGGUUAUUGGUUAGACUAUUAACUGUUGCAAAUGGAAUAUAGUGAACUAUUUGUUUAACUGAGGGGGCCUUUAGUUUUGUUGUGCACAACAUGACAAUGAUGAAGUGGUUUCCAUUGCUUUGAUUCUAUUGCAGAUGAAACUGUUUAUCCAGACUCUAAUUGCCCCAUGCAACGUACUGAUUACUAGUAAAGAUGAGCGACCAAACCAUGAUUAGGAAAGUCUAAACUGAUCCUCAUGCCCCUUUAUGUUUAAAUUUCUCCAGCUAACUAAAAACCCCUCUUGCAUGGUUCAUUGUUUUCUCAAACAACAUUUUUUUUUUUCUUUUCAUUAGCAGCUGAUCAAAAAAAUUAUUUUUCUUGCUAGUAGCGCUAAUGCAGCUGCCAAGACAUGAAAGGAUGAUGAUUUCUAGUUAGUAUUUCUUCCAAACAAAGCUUAGAGAAGGUUGCUCUCAUCCUAUGAUGUUGAUUCUGAUAAGGCUAAACCUGGUAGUUCAAAUCACAGCCUCCAGGGUGAUGAUCCCAACAAC
This is a non-coding RNA of Nelumbo nucifera (sacred lotus), 2190 nucleotides long. Lineage: Eukaryota; Viridiplantae; Streptophyta; Magnoliopsida; Proteales; Nelumbonaceae. The record is from RefSeq and is a predicted model, not a curated record.